This 806-nucleotide ribosomal RNA is filed under the name uncultured Planctomycetota bacterium. Its description in RNAcentral is "bacterial SSU rRNA". It matches the Rfam family "Bacterial small subunit ribosomal RNA", at positions 58 to 866 of the family's 1533-position model. Lineage: Bacteria; Pseudomonadati; Planctomycetota. The record is from RNAcentral.
CAAGUCGAACGAAUCCCGGAAUUGUAGCAAUACAAGACCGGGGGAAGUGGCGAAAGGGGCAGUAAUGUUUGGGUAACCUACCCUGAGGUCGCGGAUAGCCUUUCUAACGAUUGGGUAAUACGCGGCGUUGUAUCGGAGCGGCAUCGCUCUGCUACUAAAGAAUUUCGCCUCGGGAGGGGCCCAAAUGAUAUUAGCUAGUUGGUGAGGUAACGGCUCACCAAGGCAAAGAUGUCUAGCGGGUGUGAGAGCACGACCCGCGCCACUGGCACUGAGACACUGGCCAGACUCCUACGGGAGGCUGCAGUCGAGGAUCUUCGGCAAUGGGCGAAAGCCUGACCGAGCGACGCCGCGUGUGCGAUGAAGGCCUUCGGGUUGUAAAGCACCUGUCGAGGGGGAGGAAGCCGCAAGGUUGACCUAUCCCUGGAGGAAGCACGGGCUAAGUUCGUGCCAGCAGCCGCGGUAAGACGAACCGUGCAAACGUUAUUCGGAAUCACUGGGCUUAAAGGGCGCGUAGGCGGGCAACCAAGUCCGAGGUGAAAUCCUCCAGCUUAACUGGAGAAGUGCCCCGGAUACUGGUGGCCUCGAGGAGGGUAGGGGCAUCUGGAACUAGCGGUGGAGCGGUGAAAUGCGUUGAUAUCGCUAGGAACUCCGGUGGCGAAGGCGAGGUGCUGGACCCUUUCUGACGCUUAGGCGCGAAAGCCAGGGGAGCGAACGGGAUUAGAUACCCCGGUAGUCCUGGCCCUAAACGAUGAGAACUAGAUUGCGGACUUGAUAUGAGUGCGCUGUCGGAGCAAAAGUGCUAAGUU